GAAAAUGCAAAGACGGAGAGAAGUAAGAGGCAGAAAUCUUCCAGAGAGUGGCGGGUUGGUGCAACGCCAUAGAGGGAACCUUUGAAAUACACUCCCGAGCAGCCGGUUGAAAAAUCAUUUGGAUUUAGUAGGCCGCGCCGGAAUGCCACCGUUAUCAGAGGCUAGGAUAUGCAUGUAUCCGAAAAGAGAGGCUUGCAACUGGCAAGCAGGGUGGUACCACGGGUAUAACAGCUCGUCCCUGUG
Molecule: non-coding RNA, 243 nt
Filed under: Pseudoselenomonas ruminantium
Lineage: Bacteria; Bacillati; Bacillota; Negativicutes; Selenomonadales; Selenomonadaceae
Description: Selenomonas ruminantium T-box sequence
Rfam family: T-box leader
About the family: Uncharged tRNA acts as the effector for transcription antitermination of genes in the T-box leader family.
Source: RNAcentral